RNAcentral lists this ribosomal RNA (351 nucleotides) under uncultured bacterium. RNAcentral describes it as "bacterial SSU rRNA". It matches the Rfam family "Bacterial small subunit ribosomal RNA", at positions 917 to 1271 of the family's 1533-position model. The record is from RNAcentral.
GGGCCCGCACAAGCGGUGGAGCAUGUGGUUUAAUUCGAUGAUACGCGAGGAACCUUACCAGGGCUUAAAUGGGAAAUGACAGGGGCAGAGACGCCCCCUUCUUCGGACAUUUUUCAAGGUGCUGCAUGGUUGUCGUCAGCUCGUGCCGUGAGGUGUCAGGUUAAGUCCUAUAACGAGCGCAACCCCUACCGUUAGUUGCCAGCGUGUAAUGACGGGGACUCUAACGGAACUGCCGGUGCAAACCGUGAGGAAGGUGGGGACGACGUCAAAUCAUCAGGCCCUUACGUCCUGGCCACACACGUACUACAAUGCUACGGACAAAGGGCAGCAAGUUCGCAGAAGGACAGCAAA